UCCAUUAGGGUCCUGCUGGGAUGGAGUGU
RNAcentral lists this non-coding RNA (29 nucleotides) under Homo sapiens (human). The record is from RNAcentral. Lineage: Eukaryota; Metazoa; Chordata; Mammalia; Primates; Hominidae.